Molecule: ribosomal RNA, 425 nt
Filed under: uncultured bacterium
Lineage: Bacteria
Description: partial 16S ribosomal RNA
Rfam family: Bacterial small subunit ribosomal RNA
Source: RNAcentral
GUGGGGAAUCUUGCGCAAUGGGCGAAAGCCUGACGCAGCCAUGCCGCGUGAAUGAUGAAGGUCUUAGGAUUGUAAAAUUCUUUCACCGGGGACGAUAAUGACGGUACCCGGAGAAGAAGCUCCGGCUAACUUCGUGCCAGCAGCCGCGGUAAUACGAAGGGGGCUAGCGUUGCUCGGAAUUACUGGGCGUAAAGGGCGCGUAGGCGGACAGCUUAGUCAGAGGUGAAAGCCCAGGGCUCAACCUUGGAAUUGCCUUUGAUACUGGCUGUCUUGAGUUUGGGAGAGGUGAGUGGAACUCCGAGUGUAGAUGUGAAAUUCGUAGAUAUUCGGAAGAACACCAGUGGCGAAGGCGACUCACUGGCCCAAUACUGACGCUGGGGCGCGAAAGCGUGGGGAGCAAACAGGAUUAGAAACCCGGGUAGUCC